This 253-nucleotide ribosomal RNA is filed under the name uncultured bacterium. RNAcentral's name for it is "partial 16S ribosomal RNA". It matches the Rfam family "Bacterial small subunit ribosomal RNA", at positions 524 to 776 of the family's 1533-position model. The record is from RNAcentral.
UACGGAGGGUGCAAACGUUGCUCGGAAUCAUUGGGCGUAAAGCGCACGUAGGCGGUUCGAUAAGUCGGAUGUGAAAGUCGGGGGCUCAACCCUCGAAUGCCGGUGGAUACUGUCGGACUAGAGUACGGAAGAGGCGAGUGGAAUUCCUGGUGUAGCGGUGAAAUGCGCAGAUAUCAGGAGGAACACCAAUUGCGAAGGCAGCUCGCUGGGACGUUACUGACGCUGAGACGCGAAAGCGUGGGGAGCAAACAGG